AAAAAAGUAAGCUAAUUCAAGCUAAUGGGCUCAUACCCCAUUUAUGAGAAUUUACUUCUCCUUUUUUU
This 68-nucleotide transfer RNA is filed under the name Nesomachilis australica. Its description in RNAcentral is "tRNA-Met". Lineage: Eukaryota; Metazoa; Arthropoda; Insecta; Archaeognatha; Meinertellidae. The record is from RNAcentral.